GACGAACGCUGGCGGCGUGCCUAAUACAUGCAAGUCGAGCGAGAAGACGUAGCAAUGCGUUUGUAAAGCGGCGAACGGGUGAGGAAUACAUGGGUAACCUACCCUCGAGUGGGGAAUAACUAGCCGAAAGGUUAGCUAAUACCGCGUACGCUCCUUGGACUUCGGUUCAGGGAGGAAAGCGAUACCGUGGGUAUCGCGCUCUUGGUUGGGCUCAUGUCCUAUCAGCUUGUUGGUGAGGUAACGGCUCACCAAGGCUUCGACGGGUAGCUGGUCUGAGAGGACGAUCAGCCACACUGGCACUGCGACACGGGCCAGACUCCUACGGGAGGCAGCAGUAAGGAAUAUUGCGCAAUGGGCGAAAGCCUGACGCAGCGACGCCGCGUGGGGGAUGAAGGUC
This 397-nucleotide ribosomal RNA is filed under the name uncultured bacterium. RNAcentral's name for it is "bacterial SSU rRNA". It matches the Rfam family "Bacterial small subunit ribosomal RNA", at positions 28 to 416 of the family's 1533-position model. The record is from RNAcentral.